GAUGAACGCUGGCGGCGUGCUUAACACAUGCAAGUCGAACGGAAAGGCUCCUGCUUGCAGGGGGACUCGAGUGGCGAACGGGUGAGUAACACGUGGGUGAUCUGCCCUGCACUUCGGGAUAAGCCUGGGAAACUGGGUAUAAUACCGGAGAGGACGAUGGGUUGGAUGCCAUUGUGGAAAGUUUUUCGGUGUGGGGUGAGCUCGCGGCCUAUCAGCAGGUUGGUGGGGUAAUGGUCUACCAAGGCGUCGACGGGUAGCCGGCCUCUGAGGGUGUACGGCCACCUUGGGACUGACAUACGGCCCCGACUCCUACGUGUGGCAGCAGUGGGGAAUAUUGCACAAUGGGCGCAAGCCUGAUGCAGCGACGCCGCGUGGGGGAUGACGGUCUUCGGCUUGUAAACUCCUUUCGCUAGGGACGAAGCGUUUUGUGACGGUACCUGGAGAAGAAGCACCGGCUGACUACGUG
Molecule: ribosomal RNA, 466 nt
Filed under: uncultured bacterium
Lineage: Bacteria
Description: partial 16S ribosomal RNA
Rfam family: Bacterial small subunit ribosomal RNA
Source: RNAcentral